GACGAAGGUGGCGAGCGUUGUUCGGAAUCACUGGGCAUAAAGCGCACGUAGGCGGUGCCGUAAGUCGGAUGUGAAAUCCCUCGGCCUAACCGAGGAACUGCGUCCGAUACUGCGGUGCUUGAGGACCAGAGGGGUGCAUGGAAUUUCCGGUGGAGCGGUGAAAUGCGUUGAUAUCGGAAGGAACACCUGUGGCGAAAGCGGCUCACUGGACCACAACUGACGCUGAGGCGCGAAAGCUAGGGGAGCAAACAGG
RNAcentral lists this ribosomal RNA (253 nucleotides) under uncultured prokaryote. RNAcentral describes it as "partial 16S ribosomal RNA". It matches the Rfam family "Bacterial small subunit ribosomal RNA", at positions 524 to 776 of the family's 1533-position model. The record is from RNAcentral.